GAUGAACGCUAGCUACAGGCUUAACACAUGCAAGUCGAGGGGCAGCACAGUGUAGCAAUACAUGGGUGGCGACCGGCGCACGGGUGCGUAACGCGUAUCCAACCUUCCCGUUACUCAGGGAUAGCCUUCCGAAAGGGAGAUUAAUACCUGAUGGUGUUUGAAUUCCGCAUGUUAUUCAAACUAAAGAUUUAUCGGUAACGGAUGGGGAUGCGUGACAUUAGGUAGAUGGCGGGGUAACGGCCCACCAUGCCUACGAUGUCUAGGGGUUCUGAGAGGAAGUCCCCCACACUGGAACUGAGACACGGUCCAG
RNAcentral lists this ribosomal RNA (310 nucleotides) under uncultured bacterium. RNAcentral describes it as "bacterial SSU rRNA". It matches the Rfam family "Bacterial small subunit ribosomal RNA", at positions 28 to 334 of the family's 1533-position model. The record is from RNAcentral.